GUAGGUGAACCUGCGGAAGGAUCAUUACAGUAUUCUUUUUGCCAGCGCUUAAUUGCGCGGCGAAAAAACCUUACACACAGUGUUUUUUGUUAUUACAAGAACUUUUGCUUUGGUCUGGACUAGAAAUAGUUUGGGCCAGAGGUUUACUGAACUAAACUUCAAUAUUUAUAUUGAAUUGUUAUUUAUUUAAUUGUCAAUUUGUUGAUUAAAUUCAAAAAAUCUUCAAAACUUUCAACAACGGAUCUCUUGG
RNAcentral lists this unclassified non-coding RNA (250 nucleotides) under plant metagenome. RNAcentral's name for it is "partial contains small subunit ribosomal RNA, internal transcribed spacer 1, and 5.8S ribosomal RNA". The record is from RNAcentral.